RNAcentral lists this ribosomal RNA (500 nucleotides) under Fusarium solani. Its description in RNAcentral is "eukaryotic LSU rRNA". The stretch from base 131 to 284 matches the Rfam family "5.8S ribosomal RNA". Lineage: Eukaryota; Fungi; Ascomycota; Sordariomycetes; Hypocreales; Nectriaceae. The record is from RNAcentral.
CCCUGUGAACAUACCUAUAACGUUGCCUCGGCGGGAACAGACGGCCCCGUAACACGGGCCGCCCCCGCCAGAGGACCCCCUAACUCUGUUUCUAUAAUGUUUCUUCUGAGUAAACAAGCAAAUAAAUUAAAACUUUCAACAACGGAUCUCUUGGCUCUGGCAUCGAUGAAGAACGCAGCGAAAUGCGAUAAGUAAUGUGAAUUGCAGAAUUCAGUGAAUCAUCGAAUCUUUGAACGCACAUUGCGCCCGCCAGUAUUCUGGCGGGCAUGCCUGUUCGAGCGUCAUUACAACCCUCAGGCCCCCGGGCCUGGCGUUGGGGAUCGGCGGAAGCCCCCUGCGGGCACAACGCCGUCCCCCAAAUACAGUGGCGGUCCCGCCGCAGCUUCCAUUGCGUAGUAGCUAACACCUCGCAACUGGAGAGCGGCGCGGCCACGCCGUAAAACACCCAACUUCUGAAUGUUGACCUCGAAUCAGGUAGGAAUACCCGCUGAACUUAAGCA